Molecule: ribosomal RNA, 480 nt
Filed under: uncultured bacterium
Lineage: Bacteria
Description: partial 16S ribosomal RNA
Rfam family: Bacterial small subunit ribosomal RNA
Source: RNAcentral
GACGAACGCUGGCGGCGUGCUUAACACAUGCGAGUCGAACGAUGAAGAAAAGAAUCGAAGCUUCGGCAGAAAUUCAUUUCGGAUUAGUGGCAGACGGGUGAGUAACGCGUGAGCAACCUACCUCUUACAAAGGGAUAGCCUCGGGAAACCGGGAUUAAUACCAUAUAACAUUGCGACGAAGCAUUUCGAUGCAAUCAAAGCUACGGCGGUAAGAGAUGGGCUCGCGUCCCAUUAACCGGAUGGUGAGGUAACGGCUCACCAUAGUGACGAUGGGUAACCGGCCUGAGAGGGUGAACGGUCACACUGGAACUGAGACACGGUCCAGACUCCUACGGGAGGCAGCAGUGGGGAAUAUUGCACAAUGGAGGGAACUCUGAUGCAGCGACGCCGCGUGAGUGAUGAAGGAAUUCGUUUCGUAAAACUCUGUUCUAUGGGAAGAAAAGGACUGUACCAUAGGAGAAAGCUCCGGCUAAAUACGUG